AACGAACGUUAGCGGCGCGCCUAACACAUGCAAGUCGAGCGAGAAAGGGGAAACCACGGUAAAGCGGCGCACGGGUGAGUAACACGUAGGCAAUCUACCCUCGGGUGGAGGCUAACUUUCCGAAAGGAAGGCUAAUACUGCAUGAGACCACGGCUUCGCGCGAGGUUGGGGCCAAAGCCGCACACUGUACACACGCUGGCGCUGGCGGAUGAGCCUGCGGCCCAUCAGCUAGUUGGUAAGGUAAUGGCCUACGAAGGCGAAGACGGGUAGCUGGUCUGAGAGGAUGAGCAGCCACACUGGAACUGAGACACGGUCCAGACUCCUACGGGAGGCAGCAGUGGGGAAGCUUGCGCAAUGGGCGAAAGCCUGACGCAGCGACGCCGCGUGAGUGAUGAAGGCCUUCGGGUUGUAAAGCUCUGUGGAGGGGGACGAAUAAGGCAUGGCUAACAUCCAUGUUGAUGACGGUACCUCUUUAGCAAGCACCGGCUAACUCUGUGCCAGCAGCCGCCGUAA
Molecule: ribosomal RNA, 513 nt
Filed under: uncultured bacterium
Lineage: Bacteria
Description: partial 16S ribosomal RNA
Rfam family: Bacterial small subunit ribosomal RNA
Source: RNAcentral